GGUAAGAUAAGCUAAAUUAAGCUUUUGGGCCCAUACCCCAAACAUGUUGGUGAGAACCCUUCUUUUACUA
This 70-nucleotide transfer RNA is filed under the name Cynops ensicauda (sword-tailed newt). RNAcentral's name for it is "tRNA-Met". Lineage: Eukaryota; Metazoa; Chordata; Amphibia; Caudata; Salamandridae. The record is from RNAcentral.